Long non-coding RNA from Spinacia oleracea (spinach), 1116 nucleotides. RefSeq lists it as uncharacterized. The transcript has 3 exons. Lineage: Eukaryota; Viridiplantae; Streptophyta; Magnoliopsida; Caryophyllales; Amaranthaceae. The record is from RefSeq and is a predicted model, not a curated record.
GGUAUGGUUUUCGAUCUCCUUUAAAGGCGGUCACACAAUCGGAGGUCAAUCAAGAAUUGGAAAGACAAGAGGUUGAAGAAAUGUUAGAUGAUUGUAUUAAAAUGUAUGCCCUUAAACAGGUUCCCUCUGAGAAAAUAUGCAUUGAGAAAGAGUCUAUAACUGAUGGAAUUUUGGAACUCAUAUCUGAAUUGGGGAUACAGAAAUUGGUGAUGGGUGCAGGAUCUAACAGCAGAUUUUUUUGAGGAUAAAACCAAAACCCACCUCAGAACAGUCUAAUGAAGUCCUUAAUAAAGCUCCUGAUUUCUGUCAUAUCUGGUUUGUAUACAAGGGUCGUCUAAUAUAUACAAGGUAUAUUUUGCUUGCUAAAUUUAAUCAAUACAUGUUCAUUCUCUUGGUGACUUGGUGUCACUUCAAAUUGAUAAUUAUUGUGUCUACUAGCUUCAUAUCUCCUAAAUUGAUUAAUUUGUGUGGUAUCAGAAAUUACUAGACACAAGUUUCGUAUCAAGGAGGGUAAUAAGUAUUCUUUUGCAGAAAGGUUUUUAAUUAUUUUCCUGUAUCUCAAAGAAGCAUUACAUUGUUUUCCCUCUGACUAGAAUCAGUUGUCGCAUUAUUCCAACUUGUCAAAACUUGGAACAAAUAUGACAUGAUUUUACAAAAAUUUCAACAGCAGCAUGCCUUUUACGGCUUUACUUGUGAUUUAUAAGAUCGGUUCUAGUGCUUGCAAAAUCAUCAGUGAAAUAAAAUACUGAAUACAGAUACUGAUUUCAGCAACAUGUGGAUAUAGGGAAGCCACGAAGCAACUGAUCACCGCCGUCUAGAAGAAAAUCAGUUGAACAGAUUGAGCUAUUCAGAACAAUCAGUUGAUUCACCAUCAGCUGAGUCAGCUGGUAGCUCAUGACCACUGUCUCAAAACAUGCAGCAUUCUUCACCUGCUACUUAAUUUGCUUUUUUAAUUUUUAUUUUAUUUUAUUUUGCAGGAAUUUUGAAGAUAGAAGGGUGGUGAAAUUUACUAUGGAAGACUUGUCAAGAAAUGAUAAAUGGGCAUGGCGUAAUUUUGGUAAUGGUUAAGGGAAGCGUAGGCCGAAUAAUCGAAUUGUAGAUUCAAAGAUUAUUUUU